UAGUCGCCGCCGCCGCUCACGCCCUCCUCACUCUCGUCUCUCCCUCUCCCUCUCUCGCCGCCGCCGCCUCGCGCCAUCGCCAACGCCGUCCCCGUCACCUCGCGCCUGCGCCCUCGUCCCCGCCUCCGCCUCGCGUAGCCGUCGCGGUCGCCACUCCCUGCCACCACGCCCUUCAUCGCCCAAUCGCCGUCCCUGAGCACGGGCUUCGAGGCGGACGCGGAGAAAUCGAGGAGGCGAACGCUCCUUCCUCUUCCCCUCUUGUCUCUCCUCUGCCUGCGAGGAGCGCUGCUUUGCCGCCGUCAUCGCCGUCGUCACCUUGCCGGUCUAGCCGCUCGCUGCCAUCAGAGUGGUCGGAUCUGAUGGUGGCGAGCACGUGGCUGUCGAUUGUUUGGCGGUUGAUGGAGCCACCGUUGUCCUCCCACAAGCCGGUAUCACCAUUUUCGCGUUGUAGUGGACAAGGGGCUCCACGGUGGCGACGAGCUCAACCUUGGCGGAUUGAGCGAUGGCGUCAACCUCGCCGGCGGCGCCGAUAAAUAGAGGCUUGCUGGAUCUGAUGGCGGCGAGGUCGUGGCCGCCAGAUCCGGUAGCCUGGCGGCUAAUGGAGGGGCUGUUGGUCUGGCGGAUGGAGGUGCUCACUCUCCUCUCCGUCGUGCAUUCACGUUUAACUGGUGCUGCCGCCACCACCAUCGCCGGCACGGCAAGGCAUCCACCUCCUCUGCACCAUCCCCUUCCUCCUCACACUUCUCUGCCAGCCUGAAGCACCAUCGCCGGCACGGCAAGGCAUCCACCUCCUCUGCACCAUCCCCUUCCUCCUCACACUUCUCUGCCAGCCUGAAGCACCCCAUGAGUAUGGAUCCCUCGAUUUGGCGCUAGACCAUGACGCUGCCUCAAGCCCUCGCCGAUGAGUUCACUGCCACCGCCACCACUGCGCGGCCAGACGACAUGAUGCUCGUGAAUCGGAUGCAACGGCUUGCUCACUAGGAUAACUGACAUCGGCAGUUCAUGCUAGAGCAGGAACGGAUAUACAGGUACUGAAAAUACUGAUUAUCCUGUGUGAGCUGUUCAAGAAUUCAAAGAUGGGUUCAUUCACAAGGAGGAGUUCCAGCUAGCACUCUUUAGGAACAGCAACAAGAAGAACCUUUUCGCUGAUCGGAUAUUUGAUCUCUUUGAUCUUAAGCGCAAUGGCAUUACUGAUUUCGGGGAGUUUGUUCAAUCCAUUGACAUUUUUCACCCGGAAAUGCCUUUGGCAGAGAAGAUUGCCUUGUCUUAAGAAAUAGCUUAGUCGCUACCUGAAAACAAUACUUGCUGGUAAUCAAGGAUUUUUAAAAGAUAGAAGCAGAAAUAGAUUGUAAGAUCUGAGAGGAACUUGAUACAUCGAACGUGAAGAGACGGACGGUCAAAUGUUGGACACGGAAGCCCAGGGUUUGUCUUUUUUUGGGACGGAGGGAGUAUGUGCAGAUGGUCUAGCAACUAAUCUGUCCCCAGUAGUUCACAUAUUUCAUCUCCAUUCUGGGUAAUAGUUGCUUGCAAUCUGCUUUAUUCCUCCUGUGAAGUAUUUACUGUCAGCAGCACACCAUAUUUUUUGUUGUCAACUAAUAAUAAUCUUGUGUCACAAGCAACAUAACCUGCUAUAGAUUUUCUGGUUAUAAAUAUCCUAUGACCAGUAUAAACCAAACACUAUAAAGAUUUUUCUCCAUGAAUAUUCUGGUCUCUCACAUGCACAUUGUAGCACUUAAUUGUUCAUGACUAUUUAACAACUUUGCAAAUGAAAUACUCCUGGCUGGUUCAUUAAGUUAGAAAUAGACUUUUCGAAUACUCAUCAAAGAAAUCAAAUGCAGUUCAUGUUUAGUUAGCUAACAUAUCGAUCACUGAUUUAAGUUUAGCUCUCUGUAUUUAGAUGCGUGACACUUUCAUGAUUGCUAUUCCCUUUAUUAAAGUUCUUCAUCCUGUGAACUACUGGUAGCUUUGACUUGGGGGCUAGGUCCCUGUUUCACCCUUUGUGCCACGGUGACAUUUCUGAUACUUAAUUGCAUUUUCGACUGAUUGCCAGAAUGGCAUAUUAAAAUUUAAGUGCAAGUUUCAUCUUGCUAAAGAUUUCCUAUAGACUGUCACUAUUUUUUUUGUCAUUAGCAAUUUAGCAUUGCAAGAUUUCCUAUAAAUUGUCUUUGUUAUUUUUGCUUAAAAAUACUAACGAGCUAUAGAUAGAUUUUCUUGUUGGCUUAAAAGAACUAAUGAGCUAAUGAUAUUAUGCUAUAGGGUCCUACUAAUGAUGUGAAAAUGUUAUUAUCCUGUAUAUGCUGCAUAUUAUUGGUGUCAACUAUUUACUAAUAAGUGAUUCUGGCUGACAACAAUGUUCUUUUGGACAUUUCUGUGAAUCUUUAAGCAUAUGCAUGCAUUCUGAAAUAUGAACAUCCCCUUCUGUUUACUUUGGGAAAAAAAUCCGUGCGCAUCUCUUUUUUUCCCUAAACUGUUCCUUCCUAUUGCAGAGGCUGCAGGAUUUGUACCUGUUGAGCCCAUUUAAAUACUCUAGAGGAAAUACUGGAGAAGAAGGUGGAGGAGGCCACCGAAAGGAAGUUUGAUAGUUGUGCAAGAGCUCUUUUUUGGCUUAGUAGGUAAACUCACACAUAGCAUAUAAUGGGCUUUAGUUCUUCUCUUAUGGAGUUUUGCUACCUACAAAUUUCAACCUUGCAUACCUCUUCAUAUUAAUAGUUAUCUUCUCUAACAUCACUAGAUGCAUGGAUUCACUAUUGCACCGCAAAGCUUUGCACACCUUGUAGAAACUGCAUGCAUGAUCAUUCUGAAGUCAUUGCAGCAUUGGAUCUCUUUAGCAACCUAUGAUUGGUCAGGGUCCAUUGAAUCUAAGUGUACCAUUUUUUUUUUGUCGAAAAUGACUGUUUUUCCAUCGCACUUGUCCUGCACAACUAUGAUUGUAUUGAUACUGAAUUCACCUUACAAAGAUCAAAAUAUUUGCUUUUAGUGAAGUUGCAUAUUAUCUGCUCAUUUUUCAGGCCAAGUUUAGAUUAGACAGGCUGAAAUCAACUUGAUGGCAAGUCUAAAAUGGUUGUUCCAAUGUGUUAUUAUGUGAUACUGCCUUGGUGAGCUGGUUUGUCUAUGCAUAAAGAUUUUCCUUUUUGUGUCACAGUAGUAUUACCACGUGUCUAUGGAUCACUCUGUAAAUGUCAGAAUAAAACCCCACGUAUACUAGCUUGGAUAUAGGCGUGGUUUCAAUGCAGUUCCAAGAAUCCACAUAAGUUUUAUCAUCCAUUUCCAAAUUAUUCAUCCACAUUUGCAUUUCAAAUUAAUUUACAGUAACACAAAUCAAGAUCUGUGCUUAAAAAGUUAUAAUUGUCUUUAGUACCUCAUAGCUGUUAUAUUACUCUCAUUUCUCCUCCAUUGCAUUACGGAGAAAUAUCUUCAUUGUCAUGAUUUUGGACAUGUCUUUAUGUUUAAAAUAGCAUCUGUUGUAUGUGCUUGUUUAAUUUAUACUAGCAGUGCUGUUGUACAUGAAUGACCAUAUGUACAUUAGAAAAUAUGAAGUUCUUUGUACUUAGUCCUUACCAUUGGGUUCGACAAUAUGUUGUCUGUACAGUACCUGGCUUGUAUUAACGGCAAGGCUAUGAUAUCCUUUAUGUAUUGAAAUUACCAUCCUACAUGUUCAUGGCUCCUUUUUAUUUGCUUAUUCCUGUUUAUAAAAAAAGAUGCAAUUCUCUCUUUACAUUUGUUGACUUUUGAUCAAUCAAAUUAUAUAGGACGAGUUGUAUACAGGAGGCGCAAAAGGGUGCGACCCAGAGCAACAACAUUGUUUAUGGAACAGUUUCUAUUUGCAUUGUAAUAAACAAUCUUACAUCUUCACGACUUGAAAUUCUUUAGUUGAUGGCCUCCAAUCUAAAUAGUUCUUAACAUGUUACCAGUUACUGCUUUCUACAAAGUUAUAUUUCUGAAUGGUGUUUUUCCCAGAAUUCAGAAUCUUAAAAUCUGUGCUACUGGAAGAGUUAUUAUUUCAGUUUGUUUAAUUAAAAUCAACUUCACUGCACCACAUAGGCACAUGCUAUGAAUCUACUAGAGUAUGACCAUGUAGCAUUUGUCCAUGGCCUUGAAUUUGUUGAUGAUUUUUUUUUGUAAGCAUUGAAGUUCUUCUGAUGGUCUGAUUUGACUACUGCCUUAAUUUGCUGAGAGGAAAAAUUCUGAACGGAGAUUCAACAAUUCAAUCAGAGGAAAAAAAAUAUCAGCAGACAGUUCUUGAAAUUUCAUCAUCUGCACCAGUUGUGAGAGAACUCUUUAGUCCUAUUCUUUUGUGCCUUGAAAGUUCGCGUUUCUAAAAUACAAGUACUUCCUUUUGUGCUAUUGAUUUGUAAUAUUUGGUGUCAGUCGUACAAUAUCUGACUAGGUCAUUAUCAUUUACACAAUAAUUUUUAUGGUCAUUAACUGCAGAAUCGAAAGAAAGCAGAAACCAACAAUUUUGUUCUCCAAGGUUUGAUCUAUGAUCACAAGGGGACAAGUUAUUAUUCUCAAGAGGAUUGGGUAAGUGUCUCGAAAGUGAUUCUCUUGUAGCCAAGCUUGUUAAACAAAAAUCAAGGCCCACCUUGGCACUAAUGGAUCUUACAAGCUUGAUAAACAAAAAUCAAGGCCCACCUUGGCACUAAUGGAUCUCCAUCCCCAUCAAGGCCCACCUCGGCACUAAUGGAUCUCCAUCCCCUGUUAUGUGUAGUACUGUAUUUCUGAUUUCCUAAAGUGGUCUUGGUGAAGGUUGAUGAUUGCUUUCACUAGUCUCGUUGUUUCUCUGUUUACUGAAUCAUACUAAGAUAUGACUGACAUUUAAUAGUUGAAAUAAGCUUAGGCUUUUAGACCUUUCUUCCAUUAUGUGUAUUGUAUGCAUUAUUAAUGUAUUAAUAUUAAAUUCUUUUUAUGAUAACAUCCAUGUUUAGUGACACUUAAAAAAGAAUCACGGAGAAAUUUAACCCUACUGGAUUUCCUCCUAUGUAUCAUGACCAAAUAACGAACCAUAUCCUGUGCCAUAAAUAUUUCUAAUGAAAAUUAAUAUAGUAAGGAUAAAAUUUGUCAUAUAAUAUUAAUAGCCCUCUUUAGAGGACAAUUACAUGCCUACAAUUUUCUUUUAUGUACAUGUUUAUGGAUUUCUUUUGCUGAGGUUGAGGAGAAGAGGAUUGAGAAGAUUGGGAAGAUACAUAAAACGAGGCCCCACGGUUCCGACUGCGGAAUAUUAUACCCAUAGAUGGUGCUGAAAUUUGGUGGAGCUUUUGGUGAAGAAAAAGCAAUUGGUGGAGGAUAAGAAGCAGGGAGUGAUUCCAUUGAAUGUUUGAAAUGUUUGCUUUCAUUUUCUGUUUUCAGAUUUCCUGAAGCAAGUUUAACCAUACAUCACAAAUGCCUAGCCCUUCGAUGGAAACAUUUUUUUAACAGUUUAAAGUGCAGCUAUACCUUUUCAUCGUAUUUGAUAUGCACGAGUACCAGAACUACCUGAACGAGUUGAAGACCCUGUGGUUAUCCAGAGAACCAACAGUGAUGUGGCUUUGAAUGAAUGUGGAUUAUCUGCAAUACUCUUUCAUAUGGGUUAAUUGUUAUUAGGACUUUUGUUGUAAUUAUGCCCAAAGAAAAAUGAUUGUGCUGUAACUAUCACUACUAGCAACUGUGGUGGUUUGUCUGAUGACUUUUGCUAAUGAACAAUGAUUUUCACUAAUCAUAGAUAAACACCAAUUAUACAGCUA
Non-coding RNA from Oryza sativa Japonica Group (Japanese rice), 5720 nucleotides. Lineage: Eukaryota; Viridiplantae; Streptophyta; Magnoliopsida; Poales; Poaceae. The record is from RefSeq and is a predicted model, not a curated record.